Molecule: ribosomal RNA, 521 nt
Filed under: Nemoura cinerea
Lineage: Eukaryota; Metazoa; Arthropoda; Insecta; Plecoptera; Nemouridae
Description: eukaryotic LSU rRNA
Rfam family: Eukaryotic large subunit ribosomal RNA
Source: RNAcentral
GAAAUGAAAGUAAAGGUCGCGGCGCAAGCCCGGCCCACANAGGGGAGAUGUCCGUGGCGUCCCUAGUGUCGCCGACGGAUCGCAUCCCCGGGGCGUCUCGUUGUCAUUGCGACACAGUAGGCGCACCCAGAGCGUACACGUUGGGACCCGAAAGAUGGUGAACUAUGCCUGGUCAGGUCGAAGUCAGGGGAAACCCUGAUGGAGGACCGUAGCGAUUNUGACGUGCAAAUCGAUCGUCAGAGCUGGGUAUAGGGGCGAAAGACUAAUCGAACCAUCUAGUAGCUGGUUCCCUCCNAAGUUUCCCUCAGGAUAGCUGGCGCUCGGAGUAUAAAAUGANAAAAGUGUCGCAGUUGCUUCGCGCAAUGGGCACACUACCAGUCUCAUCUGGUAAAGCGAAUGAUUAGAGGCCUUGGGGCCGAAACGACCUCAACGUAUUCUCAAACUUUAAAUGGGUAAAAAACGCGACUUGCUUAAAUGUAUGAAGUCGUUGUGCGCUUAAUUGUGCACGGUAAAGUGGAUGA